This 462-nucleotide ribosomal RNA is filed under the name uncultured bacterium. Its description in RNAcentral is "partial 16S ribosomal RNA". It matches the Rfam family "Bacterial small subunit ribosomal RNA", at positions 28 to 507 of the family's 1533-position model. The record is from RNAcentral.
GACGAACGCUGGCGGCGUGCUUAACACAUGCAAGUCGAACGGUAAGGCCUUUCGGGGUACACGAGUGGCGAACGGGUGAGUAACACGUGGGUGAUCUGCCCUGCACUUCGGGAUAAGCCCGGGAAACUGGGUCUAAUACCGGAUAGGACUUCGCGGUGCAUGCCGUGUGGUGGAAAGAUUUAUCGGUGCAGGAUGGGCCCGCGGCCUAUCAGCUUGUUGGUGGGGUAAUGGCCUACCAAGGCGACGACGGGUAGCCGGCCUGAGAGGGCGACCGGCCACACUGGGACUGAGACACGGCCCAGACUCCUACGGGAGGCAGCAGUGGGGAAUAUUGCACAAUGGGCGCAAGCGUGAUGCAGCGACGCCGCGUGAGGGAUGACGGCCUUCGGGUUGUAAACCUCUUUCAGCAGGGACGAAGCGUGAGUGACGGUACCUGCAGAAGAAGCACCGGCUAACUACGUG